This 1046-nucleotide long non-coding RNA is filed under the name Equus caballus (horse). Its description in RNAcentral is "lncRNA (ENSECAG00000056097.1)". The record is from RNAcentral. Lineage: Eukaryota; Metazoa; Chordata; Mammalia; Perissodactyla; Equidae.
AAAAUCAGAGUGCCACAUACUUGUGCCAAGUGGAAUACCACUAAAACCAUGAAGGAUGAGGAUAUAUAAUUGAUUGUUAGAAGGUGCUGAAGAAUCUAGUGAAGAUAGAGUCCUCCUAAUGAAGCUGGAGGUAUGUACAACUUUACUGGUAACCAUUUUCAUGCUUACAUGUGCAAUAUAUUAGUACAAGAGCAGCUGCUUGGCCAAGUGGCUUCCAAUAUUUUGCUUCAGCUGACAUCAACAUGCUGUUCCUCCAUAUCUCAUCUGACAACUGCUUAAAGCCUUCUUUAUUUCUCAAUGUUUCAGAAAUAUAUAAAAAUUAUGAUUGAGGCAACACUCAACCUUUAAUUGGUUCCUAGACAAUGGUCGCAUGUUGAACCAUCAAAAGUCCAUCCUAAUUUCCUAUACCUACAAAAUUACAAGAUAGGGGUUCAUUCUUGCAUACAAAUUACAUACCACAAACAGACCAAAAUUAAUCAGCUAAAUACAUAGAGUAAAACUAAAACACAAAUAUGUGCCUUUAAAAUAAUGUAUUAAGUAACUGAAAUGAGACACAAUGUAUAAAAACUUGAUUCCUAAUAUUUCUUUUCAGAGAUUUUUCAGAAACAAAAAGGAAUGAACUACAGAUCCAUGCCUCAGUAUGGAUGAACCUCAAAAACAUGACACUUCCACAACUAGAAGGACCCACAACUAAAAAUAUACAACUAUGUACUGGGGAUUUGGGGAGAAAAAGCAGAAAGAAAAAAAAAAUUACACUGAGUGAAAGAAGCAAGACACAAAAAGUACAUACUGUAUAAUUUCAUUUAUAUGAAAUUCUAGAAUGGACAAAACUCUUAACCUAUGAUGAUAGAAAUCAGAUCAUGGUUAUUAUGGGGGAUGUUGACUGAGAUGGGACAUAAGGGAACUUUAUGUGGUCAUGAGAAUGUUCUGGGUUUUAAUGGGUUAUACAAGUUUAUGUAUUUGUCAAAACUGAGUAGUACACACAGAGUAUUUAGCCAUAUUUAAAUUGUAGUUCAAUAAAAAGAAAAGUCAAGAUCUAUAUAUAA